Molecule: ribosomal RNA, 229 nt
Filed under: Lasiosphaeriaceae sp.
Lineage: Eukaryota; Fungi; Ascomycota; Sordariomycetes; Sordariales; Lasiosphaeriaceae
Description: partial large subunit ribosomal RNA
Rfam family: Eukaryotic large subunit ribosomal RNA
Source: RNAcentral
ACAGCUCAAAUUUGAAAUCUGGCUCCGGCCCGAGUUGUAAUUUGCAGAGGAAGCUUCUGGUGAUAUACUGUCUAAGUCCCCUGGAACGGGGCGCCACAGUGGGUGAGAGCCCCAUAUGACAGAUGUAGAUCCUGUGUGAAGCUCCUUCGACGAGUCGAGUAGUUUGGGAAUGCUGCUCAAAAUGGGAGGUAAAUUCCUUCUAAAGCUAAAUAUUGGCCAGAGACCGAUA